This 253-nucleotide ribosomal RNA is filed under the name uncultured bacterium. RNAcentral describes it as "partial 16S ribosomal RNA". It matches the Rfam family "Bacterial small subunit ribosomal RNA", at positions 524 to 776 of the family's 1533-position model. The record is from RNAcentral.
UACGAAGGGGGCUAGCGUUGCUCGGAAUCACUGGGCGUAAAGGGUGCGUAGGCGGGUCUUUAAGUCAGGGGUGAAAUCCUGGAGCUCAACUCCAGAACUGCCUUUGAUACUGAAGAUCUUGAGUUCGAGAGAGGUGAGUGGAACUGCGAGUGUAGAGGUGAAAUUCGUAGAUAUUCGCAAGAACACCAAAGGCGAAGGCAGUGUCCUGGGGAGUACCUGACGCUCAGGUGCGAAAGCCAGGGGAGCGAACGGG